GGAGCGGAGAAAAAAUGGUUAAAAAAUGGACGGUGGUGGAGAAGAAUGGAGUGGAGGGAGAAAGGAGCUGGAGGACAAGGAGGCAGCAGCAGAAUGGACAUGAAAAACUGUGGAGAAUUGUUUGUGCUCAUCCUCAACGUCCUGCUUUCAGUCUAGAUUGAUUGCAGAUCUUGCCAUCCUGACAGCACUCCUCCAGAAACCAAUGGCAUCAAGGCAGCAUCACAGAACACCUGAUAAAAUGGAACGCUGUGUGGAUAGUCCAAUAUAAAUCCACUACCAACGCACUAGUAUUGUAUCCGUGACAUGUCCCAAAAUAU
Long non-coding RNA from Rhineura floridana, 317 nucleotides. RefSeq lists it as uncharacterized. NCBI's taxonomy places the organism in Eukaryota, Metazoa, Chordata, Lepidosauria, Squamata, Rhineuridae. The record is from RefSeq and is a predicted model, not a curated record. The transcript is spliced from 3 exons.